Molecule: ribosomal RNA, 484 nt
Filed under: uncultured bacterium
Lineage: Bacteria
Description: partial 16S ribosomal RNA
Rfam family: Bacterial small subunit ribosomal RNA
Source: RNAcentral
AUUGAACGCUGGCGGCAGGCCUAACACAUGCAAGUCGAGCGGAUGAAGGGAGCUUGCUCCUGGAUUCAGCGGCGGACGGGUGAGUAAUGCCUAGGAAUCUGCCUGGUAGUGGGGGAUAACGUCCGGAAACGGGCGCUAAUACCGCAUACGUCCUGAGGGAGAAAGUGGGGGAUCUUCGGACCUCACGCUAUCAGAUGAGCCUAGGUCGGAUUAGCUAGUUGGUGGGGUAAAGGCCUACCAAGGCGACGAUCCGUAACUGGUCUGAGAGGAUGAUCAGUCACACUGGAACUGAGACACGGUCCAGACUCCUACGGGAGGCAGCAGUGGGGAAUAUUGGACCAUGGGCGAAAGCCUGAUCCAGCCAUGCCGCGUGUGUGAAGAAGGUCUUCGGAUUGUAAAGCACUUUAAGUUGGGAGGAAGGGCAGUAAGUUAAUACCUUGCUGUUUUGACGUUACCAACAGAAUAAGCACCGGCUAAGUUCGUG